CCUUCCCUUCCUCUUCGGCUCUUCUUGUUUCUCUUCGUCCCCCUUCGGCUCUCCUCCUCCUCUUCAGCUCUUUCCCUUCCCCCUCUCUCUUCGGCUCUCCACCGCCCACCUUCGGCCCUUCUCGGCUCUUUCCGUCUCUCUCCACCGCCCACUUCGGCUCUUUCUGUCACUUCCCCCCCACCUCCUCCCGCCCUUCGGCUCUCUUCAUCUCUUCUUCCCUCCCCCCGCCCCCAAUUCAGCUCUUUCCCUCACUUCCCCUACCCCCACCCCCCCUACACUUUGGCUCUUCUCGGCUCUCCGCCUCCUCUUCAUCGCUCUCCGUCACUCUCCCACCGUGCAGGCGCCCUUUGACUCGCUCCCCGCUCCCAUCAGGUACUCGAAGCGCGCCGCGCACGCACCUUGCUCCCGCCCCCCGUUGGACUCUUUCAGGGACCAGUGCAGCCUCCCAGUGAUCCAUGAGGAAGAAGUAAUGGAGCUGCUGAGCCAGUUGGAUCCUCACAAGUGCACUGGACCGGAUGGAAUCUGCGCAGAGAGGAUCUGGUACUGGCGUAGGGAAGGAGACUCUAGAACUGGAAAGUCAGAGAGUAGGUAUGUUUGUUGUGCAAGCUGCACGGGGGAUGUCUCCUCCUAAAUCGUGCCCAGCCCAAAGGAGCAAGCCCCCCCCAUGUCUACACUGAAUCCAUGCCUAUUCCUGAAGCGCCUGUCCACUCUUCUCACUGAAACCCGCCUGCCUCCGCUGCCUCUGGGGAAUAUCUCUUCUAACCUCCAGUGCUGUCCAGAAGCAGACAAAUCAUGUUUAUCAUCUUGGUGCUGUGGAAGAUGAGUCUCUGGCUUGUAGCUCUGGAACUGCUUCUCCCAAGCCCAUUGCAUCUCAAAUACACCUAAAGCUGGGCUGUGUGACAAGUGCUGGUGCUGGUGUGAUGUUUCCUGGGUCCUCUGCUGUGGGAAGGGCAGUGAGGGUGGCAGUGGCAGUUGUACCAAGUUGCCCUUGGAUUUACAGAAUCCAUUUUUGCUUGUGUCUCUCUACCAAACCAUUCAUGAGUUGUCACUCCACUUCUUUGGCUCUCAAACCAGCAGUGUUCAGGCAGUGUGUAGAUGUGGCACUUCAGGGUACAGUGUUAGUGGUCGUGGUAGCUGGGUUAUGGUUGGACUUUUCCAACCUUAAUGCUUCUCUGAUUAGAGAGCUGGUACAGCCUGGUUGGGCUGAAGGUUGUUGUGUGGUACAGAGUGCCUUGGCUUUGAGUAUGACACCCAAAA
Pogoniulus pusillus (Red-fronted tinkerbird) is the source of this 1257-nucleotide long non-coding RNA. RefSeq lists it as uncharacterized. The record is from RefSeq and is a predicted model, not a curated record. Lineage: Eukaryota; Metazoa; Chordata; Aves; Piciformes; Lybiidae. The transcript has 2 exons.